AGUCUGUGAUGAAGAUGUAACUGUGCCGGAGGCGAGUCAGUGUUGCGCUCGUCCAUGACGGCGCAAUCAUCCUCUAAGAAGUUCUGAGCUC
This is a small nucleolar RNA of Abrus precatorius (Indian licorice), 91 nucleotides long. RefSeq annotates it as small nucleolar RNA U61. Lineage: Eukaryota; Viridiplantae; Streptophyta; Magnoliopsida; Fabales; Fabaceae. The record is from RefSeq and is a predicted model, not a curated record. The transcript has a single exon.